RNAcentral lists this transfer RNA (82 nucleotides) under Danionella translucida. It matches the Rfam family "tRNA". From Rfam's summary of the family: Transfer RNA (tRNA) molecules are approximately 80 nucleotides in length. Their secondary structure includes four short double-helical elements and three loops (D, anti-codon, and T loops). RNAcentral also lists the same sequence under 1 other name. The record is from Rfam by way of RNAcentral. Lineage: Eukaryota; Metazoa; Chordata; Actinopteri; Cypriniformes; Danionidae.
GGUAGUGUGGCCGAGUGGUCUAAGGCGCUGGAUUUAGGCUCCAGUCCCAAAAAAGGCAUGUUUUCAAAUCCCACCACUUCCA